GAUGAGCGCUGGCGGCGUGCCUAAUACAUGCAAGUCGAGCGAACGGACGAGAAGCUUGCUUCUCUGAUGUUAGCGGCGGACGGGUGAGUAACACGUGGAUAACCUACCUAUAAGACUGGGAGAACUUCGGGAAACCGGAGCUAAUACCGGAUAAUAUCUUGAACCGCAGGGUUCAAAAGUGAAAGACGGUCUUGCUGUCACUUAUAGAUGGAUCCGCGCUGCAUUAGCUAGUUGGUAAGGUGACGGCUUACCAAGGCAACGAUGCAUAGCCGACCUGAGAGGGUGGUCGGCCACACUGGAACUGAGACGCGGUCCAGACUCCUACGGGAGGCAGCAGUAGGGAAUCGUCCGCAAUGGGCGAAAGCCUGACGGAGCAACGCCGCGUGAGGGAUGAAGGGCUUCGGAUCGUAAAACUCUGUUAUUAGGGAAGAACAGAUGUGUAAGUAACUGUGCACAUCUUGACGGUACCUAAUCAGAAAGCCACGGCUAACUACGUG
This 497-nucleotide ribosomal RNA is filed under the name uncultured bacterium. Its description in RNAcentral is "partial 16S ribosomal RNA". It matches the Rfam family "Bacterial small subunit ribosomal RNA", at positions 28 to 507 of the family's 1533-position model. The record is from RNAcentral.